This is a long non-coding RNA of Zingiber officinale, 233 nucleotides long. RefSeq lists it as uncharacterized. NCBI's taxonomy places the organism in Eukaryota, Viridiplantae, Streptophyta, Magnoliopsida, Zingiberales, Zingiberaceae. The transcript is spliced from 3 exons. The record is from RefSeq and is a predicted model, not a curated record.
GACCAGAACAAGGAGGGGCAAACCAUUCUCUACCUAGUCUUUGAGUACAUGGACACGGAUCUGAAAAAGUACAUCAGAAGUUUCCGCCAGAGCCAUGAAAUGAUGCCACCAAUGACUGUUAAGAUUUUGAUGUAUCAACUCUGCAAAGGAAUUUCAUUCUGUCAUGGUCAUGGAGUGUUGCACAGGGAUCUUAAGCCUCACAAUCUUUUAAUGGACCGCAAGACUAUGAUGCU